CGUCAAGAGUUCUUUGGCACCGUUUUGGUGAGCGCGUUUCUUUUGCCUGCUGAAAGGUGAGAGACGAUG
Non-coding RNA from Rhizobium sp. AC27/96, 69 nucleotides. Lineage: Bacteria; Pseudomonadati; Pseudomonadota; Alphaproteobacteria; Hyphomicrobiales; Rhizobiaceae. The record is from Rfam.